This is a long non-coding RNA of Heterocephalus glaber (naked mole-rat), 3899 nucleotides long. RefSeq lists it as uncharacterized. The record is from RefSeq and is a predicted model, not a curated record. Lineage: Eukaryota; Metazoa; Chordata; Mammalia; Rodentia; Bathyergidae.
UGAAUUGCCUAGGUUGAUCUCAAACUCCUGGGCACAAAGGAUUCUCUUGCCUCAGCAUCCUGAGUAGCUGAAAAUAGCUACCAUAUCUAGCUGUGGUUAUUUUACCUAUAGAGAGAAAAGCACACACUAAAUGAAAAGUUUGCUCAAGCUUCUAGUAAGCCUGCUCACUUUCCAUACCACACAGUACAUGAAACUUUUAACUUAGCUUUUCUUUCUCUCCCACCCGCAACUCUCCCCAUUCUCUCUCUCCCCCCAUCCCUAGCUUUUAGAAAUGAACAGGUUGGUGUGGUCUAAAGGGAGAAAGAGGCACAGAAACAUAGCUGAGACAGUGAAAAAAGAACGUAAAUGAACAAAUUGGAACACCUGUCGCAACUGUGAAGUAGACAGGGAGCAGCAUUUUUAAAGAUACUUGGAUAUACAUUUAUACUUCUCCAGAGCACAUUAUGUACCAAGUCUUUCCCGGGAUUGUGGAUUCUGUGAUACUUGAACUAUUGGGUAAGUUCUUGAACUAUGAUCAGCCAGAUGUUGGAGAUCAUUCUGCCUGAUUCCCAGCCCUGAAGACAAAAGUGAUGUCUCCGUAAACUCUGGAGGAGAAACCCUCAAGGUGUGCGGGCACCAGUCUCACCCCAUACCAAAAAGGCACAGAGCCCGCACCAGUCAUUCAAACCUGUGGAGGGUUAAGGACAAAGAGGAGCAAAGGGUACAAUAUUCCCAGAACUGCCCUUUCGGUGAAGCUAGUUUCCAGUUGCUUACUGUAAAUUUGUGUUUUUAUAAACAGCAAAAUGCCUGAAGGAGGCUCCAUCUGGACUAAGACUGACCACUUCAGAGAAUGUAGGAAAAACGCAAAGAGGGACUUCAGUAGCCAUUCAAUUCACACCUCUUUUUUCUCUUUUUUACUAUCUUUCUGUCUCCGUCUCUCAUUGACUUGACCUUCAUCAUAUGCAUUGCACCUUUUGCGUAAGUUUAAAAAUGCAUAUAUAGUAUUUUCAUAGUUAACUUUGUGCAAUAAAUACAUUCAUCAUUCACUUUAUAUAUGAUCCCAGGCAGUGUGUGUGCACGUGCAUGUGUGCUGGGGAUGGAACCCAGGGCCUUCACAUGUUAGGCAAGUGCUGUCCUCCUGAGGGACACCUCCACCCACCCAGGGAAUUUUGAACCCCAAGCCGCACUCUUUCUUGUUACACAGAAUACCUUCCUGUGAUCCACUUACUGAAGUUCAGUCAGUUAAAAAUUAUUUAAAUGUUACCCUAAAUAAAAUAAAUGUAUAUAGGCAAGCUUACCGUCCUUGAAAAUCACACAGUGCAUCUAAAAACCAGAUGUUAGAAUUUAUCUCCUGUAUUGAAGAUUGCAUUGAUUUGGGUAAUUAAAAGAUGCACUUAUUGGGUCCGAGAUUUAGCUCAGGGGUUCUGGCACCUGCCUCCCAAGCGCAAGGUCCUGAGUUCAAUCCCCGGUACCCACCCCCCGCCCUGAAAAAAAAGGUACGUGUAUUUCAUCAAUAGAUUUCUUUUUAGUUUUGAUUUCUAAAGUAAUUCAUCUGAACAUUUGACUUUUCCAGAUGAUAGGCUGUUUAAAAAGAUUUGAUAUGAACCUAUGAUAUUCAUGUAAGUCUUUAAGAGAGAGGUGUUGUUCUAAAAUUCUGUAAAUAUAGUAAAUUAGGUAUUCUUUUGUUCAAAAUAAAAAUGUAAACCUUUUAUGCUUGCUUCACUCCUGAAUACAGCACCUUCACAGGCUUGAACUAGCAGAAAGGAAAAUGACACAUCCAGAAAUUAUCUGAAAACUUGCAAUACUUUGGAGAAAUGUGUGUCUGUAUUAUCAUAAUUCUUGUACAUUUUCUGCCAUGUGCUAGGUGCCAACAAUACAUGAAGUAAUGUAAUCCCCCUUAUAUUUAUGACUUCAUUAUGUAUAAAUGUCUUUGUGAACCCACUGAACAACAGUAAGAUUUUUUUCUUUCAGUGAUAAUUUAUUGUUGAUGCCUCGUAAAUGCAGAGUAAUCCUAACUAAUAUAAAUAAUGUAAACUAUCUUAAUUAAAAUCCUUGGUUAUAAAGAAACUCUAUACAUUCAGCACAAAAGUCUGGGUGCAUACCAAAUUCAAACUGCUUGCAGACAUAAAAGCAGACAGAAGGUUAAAUCUCACUCCAGAAAUUUACUUUGCCCUGAGGGAUCACAUGCAACUCAGGAAGUUGCUUCUCUUACAAAGAACUAGCAUUUCUGCUUAAGACUAAAAUGAUUAUUUUUAAAGUACCCAUUUUACAAUGCAAAUGUGUAUCUAAAUUAAACUCAGUAAAAAUAAGCACUUUAAAUUGAAUCUGCAGUAAUGACUUUAUGGGAGACAAUAGAAAAAGUGGUUCUCGAAUAUCAACUAUGAGAAAACAGAUUUCAAAACCCUCCUAGAGGUCUGGAAGCUUUCUUUGUUCUGUGUAUGAUAAUGUAUUGGCCUGUGUUUAACUGAGAACCCAUUGCUCUGAAGUUAUUUUGUAAAACCGAGGCUGUUCGUGAAGGCUACAGCAAAAAAGAAAAGGUAGAUCAAAACAGCAACAACAAAAGAAACUGGUGAUCAGUCUCCAGUGCCAAGCCAUGCCUUAGCAUUUCAAAUAUGGACAGGUGCAGGGAACGGACUCUAAGACAGCAGCAACGAGAGACUGAGUUACAAAGACACAUUCACAAUAGGCACUUUAGUCAGACACAAAUGACGAUAUUCUAUAGAGAGACCUGGGAGGGGUUACAUGACAGUUGGAAGGCUGUGACAAUGUAGGGUAAUUGAAGAGCAGUAAAGAGAAGGGAAGUGGUUUGGGGAAGAGGCAGUGGUGGUAGAGAUGGAACAUGAAGUGACAAAGUAAAGGAAGCAGAGAUGCUAAUAUUCUUUGCUGGGCUCUGCUCAUCUAUGCCACUAUUCUUUGUCAAACCAUGUCUCAUUAAUUGUCCAUAAAUAAUGCCUUAUGGAGCAGCCCAAAAGUAAAGAGGACUAGAAUAUACUUGUGGAAUGGUGGCCACUCCUUUGGGAGUUGUCCUUGGCAGAGUUACUUUUGCUUCCCCUCCCUUUUUGCCUGGCAUUCUAAAUUCUAAAGCAAAGCCUCGCCUAAAUGAUUAAGAUGUUAAACACUAAAUAAUCUUCCUUUAGAUUUACAGAACCUAGACCCUCUGGUGACCUUCAGAUAACAAUGGAAUAUGUAACGCCUCUUCUUAUUCUUUAAUCCUGUAUAUUAACUAACAUAAAGCACAUAAAUUGCUAUGCACUUCAACUUGCAAAAAAGUAAAAUGUCUAAAGAAAAUAUGGGAACCAGCUCCAAAAGGUCAAGGUCAGUUGCAGUAUUCCAGCUUGGGAGGGGUGGAGACACACCCCCUCUGUGAUGAAGACUCCACCCAACAAGUGACCUUUCUACCUACUGUGCCACUGCAUCUGUCUUUUCUCUCUACAAAUGUCCUUUCACGUGCCUGAGACCCCAAAUGUGGUGCUUUGAGGAUGAUAGCCCACUCCAUUUUCUUAGGGCUGGCCCUGGAAUAAGCCUGAUUUUGUUCCCACCAAUUUGUCUCCAGAGUAUUGGCUUUUGAGUGAUAUUUAGGCCAUGCUGAAACUAGAAGAAAAAAACUCUCAUGGGCCCAGUGGUACAUGACUAUAGUACCAGCUACUCCAGAGACUGAGAAAAAGUCCAUGAUCUCAAUUGAACUGCAUAGACAAGCUAAGAAUAUAAUGGAAGGAAUUAUUUCUGAAUUUUCAAGUAUAGUUUCAACUAAAGACAUAAGUCAUUGGUGGAUAAAAAUGAAGAUGCCUCCAAGCAAGAGACGUUUUCCCUUUCUGCAGAUUCUUUUAAGACAAUAGGGUCCUAAUAGCAAUAAAUCUGAUGCAGAGGAAUUGAUAAAACUAUAUAUAGGUGCAUUCUGUGACUAUGAGAAAUAAAAGAUU